GUGCACACCUACAAUCUCAGUCCUUGGGAGGUGGAGACAGGAGGACCAGUUCAAAGCCAGCCUGGGUAACAGGGGUCUCUAGCUCAAGACCCAAAUCAAACCAAAACAACAGAGAAAGCUCGCCAACACUCUUUGCCACAUCCCCUUGAGUUUCCUAAUGAGCACAGAUACCUUUAUCCCUCAGACCAGCUUCCUGGGAAGAGGAUCCAUUUGCAAACAAACAAACCUGUUCUUUUUUCCAGGAGAGGAAGAAAUAAUAGAGCCCAUUAAAAGUGAUGCUCUUACCCUGGGGGAGAUGAUGCAAGCCCGGCAUAAAGCCCAGAGGCUGUUGCUAGGAUACAUGGCUGUCAGGUAGCAGAGGUCACAGGACCUCAGAAAGGGUUUCAUAAAUGACUAAUUCAUUAUUGUUUUAUUUAGUCCUUAUAAAAGGAUUGCCUCGGGUUCCCUAAGAAUUACUUCACUUCAAAUAUUCCUCCAGCACAUUUGAUAUAUGUUCUUCACAUGGUCUCAUGAGGGAGAGGCUGAGGAAGCAGAGGUCCAGACCCUUCCUGUACUUGGGGCAUCUCUGAAGGACCACUCCAGCCCUAGAAUUCCUCGCAGGAUCAGAGGAGAUCCUUGCAGCAUUUGCAACAUAAUUCAGCAUAUUUCUCUGCCAGUCAAGUCACCUACACUGAUUAGAGGCAGCUGCGACACAUGAACUCACAGCUUUGGGACAGAGUGCACAAGACUUGGGAAAGCUGAAGCCACAUGAAAUCCAGCAUGGAGGGGGAGUGAGCACAAAGUCUCAGCCUUUGCUCGUUGCAAUUGGACUCUUGGUGCUGAUAUCGCUAGUUGAUACCGACUUUCUGGGAAGGACAACAAAAACAGAGUCCACAGUCCAAGCCACUUGAGUACCUAGAAGUGAGAACAGAAAAACAAGGGAUUGGUUGGAGUAACCAAGGAAACCAUUUGAUGGGGUGCUGAGAUUAAAAGUGUAUACCACUGGGCCUGCCCCUGUUUGGGCUCUUCAAGAAGAUCAUGGGAGGAAUUACUAUAACUGGGAAAUCUGAUCCAACAUGAUUUGGGAGGGAGGUGGGGGAGUUCCAGCCUAGCCCUAUGAGUGCCACCCACCUCGUAAACAUUCACAGAAAAAGUUCUUUAAACCCCAGUGUGUUGCUACAUACCUCCUCCCACCAGUCCACUCUGGGAUGUAUGUAUUACUUUGCUUUACUAAAUAAAACUCUUUC
This 1226-nucleotide small RNA is filed under the name Rattus norvegicus (Norway rat). RNAcentral's name for it is "uncharacterized LOC102553685". The record is from RNAcentral. Lineage: Eukaryota; Metazoa; Chordata; Mammalia; Rodentia; Muridae.